CCCAUUUUCAGAAUGGCGGACCGGGCAGACACACAGGAAACAACACGUGGGUGCGGUGGCGCGGCACACAUUGCACGUGGAGUGCACGGUGGUCGCUUUAAUCCGUUAUUUUUGCAACUUUGUGGAUCAUCAAGACAACACGCAAGAAAUUGGUUUCUGAGGAAUUGCUGGCACAGUACAUAUACGUGAUGUGGAGAGGAAGUCACUAAGAGAACUUAACACCCAGAGUCGGUGAUGACAUCCGUAUUUUAUCUCCUUUUUGUUCUUCUCAAGAAGCGGGCUCAAGAGAGACUCAAGUUCCAGUGAGGACCCCAAGUGACAGCCACUCUGACAGUGAUGAGCAAGAACAGUGGAUGGAGAAAACAGCAGAUUUUGGAAGGCCUCAUUGCCAGGUGAAUGUACUGCCAUGGCUGCCUACAUGAACGUUGAGGCUGGCUAGCAUCGUGGUACGAGUGGACUGACCGAGGAUAUCUCCAAAGUGAAGAGGCAGGUUACGUCAUAAGUAGCACAGACCUCCUCAUAUGACAGCUGUCGGUAUGCCCCAGGAGAAGCAGACCAUAAUGCUGAUGAGAAGAGCGCCCUCGCCUCCUUCAACCUG
Long non-coding RNA from Acanthaster planci (crown-of-thorns starfish), 598 nucleotides. NCBI's taxonomy places the organism in Eukaryota, Metazoa, Echinodermata, Asteroidea, Valvatida, Acanthasteridae. The record is from RefSeq and is a predicted model, not a curated record.